AUUCCGCGUGAGUGAAGAAGGCCUUCGGGUUGUAAAGCUCUUUCGCAAGGGAAGAAAACUUACAUUCUAAUAAAGUGUGAGGCUGACGGUACCUUGAUAAGAAGCACCGGCUAACUACGUGCCAGCAGCCGCGGUAAUACGUAGGGUGCGAGCGUUAAUCGGAAUUACUGGGCGUAAAGCGUGCGCAGGCGGUUUGGCAAGUCAGAUGUGAAAUCCCCGAGCUCAAC
RNAcentral lists this ribosomal RNA (227 nucleotides) under uncultured Methylophilus sp. RNAcentral describes it as "partial 16S ribosomal RNA". It matches the Rfam family "Bacterial small subunit ribosomal RNA", at positions 394 to 613 of the family's 1533-position model. Lineage: Bacteria; Pseudomonadati; Pseudomonadota; Betaproteobacteria; Nitrosomonadales; Methylophilaceae. The record is from RNAcentral.